Molecule: ribosomal RNA, 382 nt
Filed under: uncultured bacterium
Lineage: Bacteria
Description: bacterial SSU rRNA
Rfam family: Bacterial small subunit ribosomal RNA
Source: RNAcentral
GACUAACGCUGGCGGCAUGCCUAACACAUGCAAGUCGAACGAGACCUUCGGGUCUAGCGGCGCACGGGUGCGUAACGCGUGGGAAUCUGCCCUUAGGUACGGAAUAACUCAGGGAAACUUGAGCUAAUACCGUAUAAUGACUCCGGUCCAAAGAUUUAUCGCCUAAGGAUGAGCCCGCGUCGGAUUAGCUAGUUGGUGAGGUAAAAGCUCACCAAGGCGACGAUCCGUAGCUGGCUGAGAGGAUGAUCAGCCACACUGGGACUGAGACACGGCCCAGACUCCUACGGGAGGCAGCAGUGGGGAAUAUUGGACAAUGGGCGAAAGCCUGAUCCAGCAAUGCCGCGUGAGUGAUGAAGGCCUUAGGGUUGUAAAGCACUUUCAG